Molecule: ribosomal RNA, 253 nt
Filed under: uncultured bacterium
Lineage: Bacteria
Description: partial 16S ribosomal RNA
Rfam family: Bacterial small subunit ribosomal RNA
Source: RNAcentral
UACGUAGGUGGCAAGCGUUAUCCGAAAUUAUUGGGCGUAAAGAGCGCGCAGGUGGUUAAUUAAGUCUGAUGUGAAAGCCCACGGCUUAACCGUGGAGGGUCAUUGGAAACUGGUUGACUUGAGUGCAGAAGAGGGAAGUGGAAUUCCAUGUGUAGCGGUGAAAUGCGUAGAGAUAUGGAGGAACACCAGUGGCGAAGGCGGCUUCCUGGUCUGCAACUGACACUGAGGCGCGAAAGCGUGGGGAGCAAACAGG